GCGUGAGUGAUGAAGGCCCUAGGGUUGUAAAGCUCUUUCAACGGUGAAGAUAAUGACGGUAACCGUAGAAGAAGCCCCGGCUAACUUCGUGCCAGCAGCCGCGGUAAUACGAAGGGGGCAAGCGUUGUUCGGAAUAACUGGGCGUAAAGCGCACGUAGGCGGAUUGUUUAGUUAGAGGUGAAAUCCCAGGGCUCAACCCUGGAACUGCCUUUAAUACUGGCAGUCUAGAGACCGAGAGAGGUGAGUGGAAUUCCGAGUGUAGAGGUGAAAUUCGU
This 275-nucleotide ribosomal RNA is filed under the name uncultured bacterium. Its description in RNAcentral is "partial 16S ribosomal RNA". It matches the Rfam family "Bacterial small subunit ribosomal RNA", at positions 399 to 691 of the family's 1533-position model. The record is from RNAcentral.